AGGACGAACGCUGGCGGCGUGCUUAACACAUGCAAGUCGAACGGAAAGGCCCGCUUGCGGGUACUCGAGUGGCGAACGGGUGAGUAACACGUGGGCAACCUGCCCUCAGCUUCGGGAUAACACUUGGAAACAGGUGCUAAUACCGGAUAACAACUUUUUCAUCGCAUGGUGGAUGGUUCAAAGUUUUUCGGCUGAGGAUGGGCCCGCGGCCUAUCAGCUUGUUGGUGGGGUAAUGGCCUACCAAGGCGACGACGGGUA
Molecule: ribosomal RNA, 258 nt
Filed under: uncultured bacterium
Lineage: Bacteria
Description: partial small subunit ribosomal RNA
Rfam family: Bacterial small subunit ribosomal RNA
Source: RNAcentral